UACGUAGGGGGCAAGCGUUGUCCGGAUUUAUUGGGCGUAAAGCGCUCGCAGGUGGUUCGUAACGUCGUGCGUGAAAGACCCUGGCUCAACUGGGGAGUGUCGUGCGAUACGGGCGGACUAGAGGCCAGUAGGGGGAUGCGGAAUUCCGGGUGUAGUGGUGGAAUGCGUAGAGAUCCGGAGGAACACCAGCGGCGAAGGCGGCAUCCUGGACUGGUCCUGACACUCAGGAGCGAAAGCGUGGGGAGCGAUCCGG
RNAcentral lists this ribosomal RNA (253 nucleotides) under uncultured bacterium. RNAcentral's name for it is "partial 16S ribosomal RNA". It matches the Rfam family "Bacterial small subunit ribosomal RNA", at positions 524 to 776 of the family's 1533-position model. The record is from RNAcentral.